Molecule: ribosomal RNA, 397 nt
Filed under: uncultured bacterium
Lineage: Bacteria
Description: partial 16S ribosomal RNA
Rfam family: Bacterial small subunit ribosomal RNA
Source: RNAcentral
AUACGUAGGUGACAAGCGUUAUCCGGAUUUACUGGGCGUAAAGGGCGUGUAGGCGGUCUUGCAAGUCAGAAGUGAAAUUCCUGAGCUCAACUCGGGCGCUGCUUCUGAAACUGCAGGACUUGAGUGCUGGAGGGGAUAGCGGAAUUCCUAGUGGAGCGGUAAAAUGCGCAGAUAUUAGGAAGAACACCGGUGGCGAAGGCGGCUAUCUGGACAGUACCUGACGCUGUGGCGCGAAAUCGUGGGGAGCAAACAGGAUUAGAUCCCCGGGUAGUCCACGCUGUAAACGAUGAAUACUAGGUGUUGGGUUCCAAUAGGGAUUCGGUGCCGCAGCUAACGCAAUAAGUAUUCCACCUGGGGAGUACGUUCGCAAGAAUGAAACUCAAAGGAAUUGGCGGGG